RNA transcript from Helianthus annuus (common sunflower), 2284 nucleotides. RefSeq lists it as uncharacterized. The record is from RefSeq and is a predicted model, not a curated record. NCBI's taxonomy places the organism in Eukaryota, Viridiplantae, Streptophyta, Magnoliopsida, Asterales, Asteraceae. The transcript is spliced from 8 exons.
GUAAUUUCACCCACAAUUCUUAAGACUCCAUUCCAAACUCAUGUUUUGUUUCCCCAAUUUUACACCUCCUCUCCCAAAUCUGCCCCCAUACAAUGCACUCUUAAUGUUUCCUUCAAACAAAACCCCUGUAAAUUGAAGAACCAAAUGAAACGGUGGAACAAUUAAUCAUGCUAUUGAAUCAUUUGCCAUCUCUAUUUAUUUAGCGUUGUGAAGCGUCUCCGUCUGCAUCUCAUCCAGAAAGGGAAUGCCAGGUUUCUUUGACGUGAUUCUCAACUAUAUCGAAGGUAUUGCUAUUGCAUUUUGUUUUAAUUCGUCUGGUUAAUCGGUUGUAAUGUUGUUAUCAGUGUUGAUUUGUUUACAUUUUAAUAUCUAUUUUGUUAGAAAUCUGCAUUAAGAUUUUAGUUUUAUACCACUCUAUUAGUUGGAUGAUUAGGGCAUAAAUUUGGUACGUUAUGCCGCCUUUGGCGUUUACGGUUACCAGAAAAGCAUCGAAGAAUAUCCAUAUGAAUGAAUUUGGGGCUGGGUUUUGUGUGAUUUUUAGGGCUAAUAUGAAUGAAUUUGGGGCUGGGUUUUGUGUGAUUUUUAGGGCUAGGGUUCUUCAAGGAGAAUUUCACAUAGAGAUUAAGAUGGCAGCUGAAAGUUACUAUUAUUUGUAUCUAUCCAUAAAACACCAUUCAUCCUAGACUAGGGGUGGCAAAAUCAAACCAUACAUUCAACUUUGGGUUAGGAUGGGUAUUAUUUUUGUAGUAGAUGGGUUAAGUUGGGUUAACAAGAAUUGUUAAAUGGGUCAAGAUGGGUAACUUUAAAAAAUAAAAAAAUUAACAUGUGGGUUAGGAUAAAGUCUAAAACUGCACAUUCUUCUUUUUCUCAUCUCCCACGCCCAAAUCACCACCAGCCUACAACCUCCAUUCCACCGCUUUUGCUCCGACCAUCGCCGCCAGCCCUGAAGAAACCCUAAUCAAGGAUCAUGAACGGGCUUAUUUUGAUUCAGCUGAUUGGGCUCUGGGAAAGCAAGGUGUAGACAAGCCCAGAGGACCUCUUGAGGCACUUCGGCCUAAACUACAGCCAACUCAGCAGCAAACACGAUAUAGGAAAUCACUUUGCGCCCCAAAUGAUGGACAAGGCGAUCAAUGAUUAAAUGCCUAACAGAGAUGAGUUAUUGAUGCUGUUGGAUAUUAUGUCCGGUUCGAUAAGUCAACGCUGCCGACCGGGUCUUGACCCGUAAGAGUUACACCUUGGGCAACGAACUAAAAUCCACUUAACCAGUUUAACUGGUAAUUACAAACAACAUACGAGACAGAUCAUAAUUAUCUAUGAUUAUAAGCGGGUAUUAACGGAGAGACGGGUACAUGGACCGGGUGACACAUGUAUUCUCACCCACCGACACUUGUCACUUGCCACCCUUUUUGGCCAAUAGAAAUACAUGCAACUUGCCACCCUUUUUGGCCAAUAGAAUUACAUGCAAUUUUGCAUGAUUGACACUUGGCUAACAUACAUGAAUGUCCAUGUUCUAUAUAAGUGGGUCUUGUAUUUUGUGGAAAGAGAUGAGAUGAGAAAAGGGUAGCAACAAGAUAAAACUCUCUCAACACCCACAACCGGCCACAACCGCCGCCACCGUCGGCUAGCCCUCCGCCGCCGACCCACCCUGCUGCCGCCGCUCUCCGGUGGUCGCCGCCGCCUGCACCGCCGACCGCCACAGCCGAGACCCGACUCACACUCGCGUUUCUCUCGUUCGUGUAACUAGCACUUGUUCGUUGAACCUCGGUGUCUCAACUGGUUAGUCAUUAACCGAGGCAAGGAUUCUGAGGAAAACAUUAGGGGCGGUACGAGACAGGUUGGCAUCUUAUGUGCUAAUGCACUUGUUGCUUUAGAAGAAAAUGUCCAAAACCUUGUGACCGAUCACAAAAAUGCCAAGACUUUAGCUGAAGGGCUAAAUAAAAUCAAGGGUCUGAGUAUGGAUCUAGCUUAUGUGGAGAGUGCAGACAAACAUUUAAGCAUGAUAUGGUUUAUUUUGAGAUAUCAAAGGGGUCACAUAUUACAACAGUGAAGUUAGGCAAAAUUUUGGAUGAGCAUGGAAUACUUUUGAUGCCUGAUAGCUCAUCGAGGUGUGAAUUAAUCUAUUAGGUGUUCAUAGUCAUGAACUUGUGGCAUUAGAUUUACUUAUCUUGAUGGUAUUGAUAAGUUCAUUACAGUUCUCUUGAUAAGUUUAAAAACACAGAAUGGAUUUUGUCCAUCUCCCAUGUACAAAAAAAGUAUUUUCCUUUAAAGUUUUAAGAUGGCAGAC